This 494-nucleotide ribosomal RNA is filed under the name uncultured bacterium. Its description in RNAcentral is "partial 16S ribosomal RNA". It matches the Rfam family "Bacterial small subunit ribosomal RNA", at positions 28 to 507 of the family's 1533-position model. The record is from RNAcentral.
GACGAACGCUGGCGGCGCGCUUAACACAUGCAAGUCGAACGGAAAGGCCUGCUUUCCCUUGUGGAUUGCGGGUACUCGAGUGGCGAACGGGUGAGUAACACGUGAGUGAUCUGCCCCCAACUUGGGUAUAAGCCUGGGAAACUGGGUCUAAUUCCCGAUAGGACUGCAGGGUGGUGCCUGUGGUGGAAAACGAUUUUCUAGUGGUUGGGGAUGAGCUCGCGGCCUAUCAGCUUGUUGGUGGGGUAAUGGCCUACCAAGGCGGCGACGGGUAGUCGGCCUGAGAGGGUGGACGGCCACAUUGGGACUGAGAUACGGCCCAGACUCCUACGGGAGGCAGCAGUGGGGAAUAUUGCACAAUGGGCGGAAGCCUGAUGCAGCGACGCCGCGUGGGGGAUGACGGCCUUCGGGUUGUAAACUCCUUUCGACCGCGAGGAAGCCACCUGGUUGGAAGGGUGGUGACGGUAGUGGUAGAAGAAGCACCGGCUAACUACGUG